AUUGAACGCUGGCGGCAUGCUUUACACAUGCAAGUCGAACGGUAACAGGCCUUCGGGUGCUGACGAGUGGCGCACGGGUGAGUAAUGCAUCGGAACGUACCCAGAGGUGGGGGAUAAUGCAGCGAAAGCUGUGCUAAUACCGCAUGUGAUCUGAGGAUGAAAGCGGGGGACCGAGCAGCAAUGUUUGGCCUCGCGCCUUUGGAGCGGCCGAUGUCGGAUUAGCUAGUUGGUGGGGUAAAGGCCUACCAAGGCGACGAUCCGUAGCUGGUCUGAGAGGACGACCAGCCACACUGGGACUGAGACACGGCCCAGACUCCUACGGGAGGCAGCAGUGGGGAAUUUUGGACAAUGGGCGCAAGCCUGAUCCAGCAAUGCCGCGUGCGGGAAGAAGGCCUUCGGGUUGUAAACCGCUUUUGGCAGGAACGAAACGGUGUCCGCUAAUACCGGGCGCUAAUGACGGUACCUGCAGAAUAAGCACCGGCUAACUACGUG
Molecule: ribosomal RNA, 492 nt
Filed under: uncultured bacterium
Lineage: Bacteria
Description: partial 16S ribosomal RNA
Rfam family: Bacterial small subunit ribosomal RNA
Source: RNAcentral